This is an RNA transcript of Oncorhynchus keta (chum salmon), 1279 nucleotides long. RefSeq lists it as uncharacterized. Lineage: Eukaryota; Metazoa; Chordata; Actinopteri; Salmoniformes; Salmonidae. The transcript has 4 exons. The record is from RefSeq and is a predicted model, not a curated record.
AGAAUAACAGACCAUGUUAAAACAGGUGGUGAGCAUGUUAAAACAGGUGCUGACCAUGCAGGUGCUGACCAUGUUAAACAGGUGGUGACCAUGUUAAACAGGUGGUGACCAUGUUAAAACAGGUGGUGACCAUGUUAAAACAGGUGGUGACCAUGUUAAAACAGGUGGUGACCAUGUUAAAACAGGUGGUGACCAUGUUAAAACAGGUGGUGACCAUGUUAAAACAGGUGGUGACCAUGUUAAAACAGGUGGUGACCAUGUUAAAACAGGUGGUGACCAUGUUAAAACAGGUGGUGGCCAUGUUAAAACAGGUGGUGACCAUGUUAAAACAGGUGGUGGCCAUGUUAAAACAGGUGGUGACCAUGUUAAAACAGGUGGUGACCAUGUUAAAACAGGUGGUGACCAUGUUAAAACAGGUGGUGACCAUGUAAAAACAGGUGGUGACCAUGUUAAAACAGGUGGUGACCAUGUUAAAAACAGGUGGUGACCAUGUUAAAACAGGUGGUGACCAUGUUAAAACAGGUGGUGACCAUGCAGGUGCUGACCAUGUUAAACACGUGGUGACCAUGUAAAAACAGGUGGUGACCAUGUUAAAACAGGUGGUGACCAUGUUAAAACAGGUGGUGACCAUGUUAAAACAGGUGGUGACCAUGUUAAAACAGGUGGUGACCAUGUUAAAACAGGUGGUGACCAUGUUAAAACAGGUGGUGACCAUGUUAAAACAGGUGGUGACCAUGUUAAAACAGGUGGUGACCAUGUUAAAACAGGUGGUGACCAUGUUAAAACAGGUGGUGACCAUGUUAAAACAGGUGGUGACCAUGUUAAAACAGGUGGUGACCAUGUUAAAACAGGUGGUAACCAUGUUAAAACAGGUGGUGACCAUGUUAAAACAGGUGGUGACCAUGUUAAAACAGGUGGUGACCAUGUUAAAACAGGUGGUGACCAUGUUAAAACAGGUGGUGACCAUGUUAAAACAGGUGGUGACCAUGUUAAAACAGGUGGUGACCAUGUUAAAACAGGUGGUAACCAUGUUAAAACAGGUGGUGACCAUGUUAAAACAGGUGGUGACCAUGUUAAAACAGGUGGUGACCAUGUUAAAACAGGUGGUAACCAUGUUAAAACAGGUGGUGACCAUGUUAAAACAGGUGGUGACCAUGUUAAAACAGGUGGUAACCAUGUUAAAACAGGUGUUGACCAUGUAAAAACAGGUGGUGACCAUGUUAAAACAGGUGGUGACCAUGCUGAAACAGAUACUGAUGUUUGAUGAUGUCAUAUUCUG